RNAcentral lists this ribosomal RNA (429 nucleotides) under Chloroflexota bacterium. RNAcentral describes it as "Chloroflexi bacterium partial 16S ribosomal RNA". It matches the Rfam family "Bacterial small subunit ribosomal RNA", at positions 355 to 776 of the family's 1533-position model. Lineage: Bacteria; Bacillati; Chloroflexota. The record is from RNAcentral.
UGGGGAAUAUUGCACAAUGGGCGCAAGCCUAAUGCAGCCAUGCCGCGUGUAUGAAGAAGGCCUUCGGGUUGUAAAGUACUUUCAGCGGGGAGGAAGGGAGUAAAGUUAAUACCUUUGCUCAUUGACGUUACCCGCAGAAGAAGCACCGGCUAACUCCGUGCCAGCAGCCGCGGUAAUACGGAGGGUGCAAGCGUUAAUCGGAAUUACUGGGCGUAAAGCGCACGCAGGCGGUUUGUUAAGUCAGAUGUGAAAUCCCCGGGCUCAACCUGGGAACUGCAUCUGAUACUGGCAAGCUUGAGUCUCGUAGAGGGGGGUAGAAUUCCAGGUGUAGCGGUGAAAUGCGUAGAGAUCUGGAGGAAUACCGGUGGCGAAGGCGGCCCCCUGGACAAAGACUGACGCUCAGGUGCGAAAGCGUGGGGAGCAAACAGG